Long non-coding RNA from Benincasa hispida (wax gourd), 395 nucleotides. RefSeq lists it as uncharacterized. The record is from RefSeq and is a predicted model, not a curated record. NCBI's taxonomy places the organism in Eukaryota, Viridiplantae, Streptophyta, Magnoliopsida, Cucurbitales, Cucurbitaceae.
GACAGUAAAAAAAACAGGCUCUCUCAUUAUUUUGAAAUAGGGUUUUUCUUUUUCUUCUUCUUGCAGAGGUUAAAUUUCAUCACUUUACAGAGGCUUUCAUGGAGUUGCUUGAAAUUUCUCCAACUUCCAAGUUCUAUCAUUCCCAACUAGGUUAUUAUGAUUUUGAGAAAGCUGUCUUUUGAAACCAACCGAAAGGGCUCCCAUGGUUUUCCAAAGAAUUGAAAGUCUCCAAAUGGAUGCUGAAAUGUAACCCCAAUUAUUAUAAGAAAAUGGUCAGAAAUGUAUGAACCAACAAUUUGUACUUGAAACAUUUUCUUGGACUUUACCUUUUAAAAGGGUAUAGAUAAUAAUCACUUGAGAAUUUUGAAACUGAAAUAAAAAAUAAUAAUAAUUUA